RNAcentral lists this unclassified non-coding RNA (253 nucleotides) under Glomus sp. Its description in RNAcentral is "partial contains 5.8S ribosomal RNA and internal transcribed spacer 2". The stretch from base 1 to 71 matches the Rfam family "5.8S ribosomal RNA", at positions 84 to 154 of the family's 154-position model. The record is from RNAcentral. Lineage: Eukaryota; Fungi; Glomeromycota; Glomeromycetes; Glomerales; Glomeraceae.
GUGAAUCAUCGAAUCUUUGAACGCAAAUUGCACUCUCUGGUAUUCCGGAGAGUAUGCCUGUUUGAGGGUCAUUUUAAAUAAAAAUCGGUGUUGUUGCUUCCUUUCGUGGUGACGCACCGGAUUUGGGUCGUCUUGCCUUCGGUUAAGUGACCUGAAAUUUUGCAUGGUUUUUUUCGAACGUAGUUAAAUGAUGUUACGUACGUUUGCGAUAUAGAAUACUAGGUGUGUCAUCCUCAUUAUGCUCGCCUAUAAU